RNAcentral lists this ribosomal RNA (264 nucleotides) under uncultured bacterium. RNAcentral's name for it is "partial 16S ribosomal RNA". It matches the Rfam family "Bacterial small subunit ribosomal RNA", at positions 29 to 289 of the family's 1533-position model. The record is from RNAcentral.
AUGAACGCUGGCGGCGUGCUUAACACAUGCAAGUCGAACGAUUAAAGCUCACUUCGGUGAGUGUAUAGAGUGGCGAACGGGUGAGUAACACGUGGGAAACCUGCCCCUUUCUUCGGGAUAACUUCGGGAAACCGUUGCUAAUACCGGAUACUCCGGGAUGGUCGCAUGGCCGACCCGGGAAAGCUUUAUGUGGAAAGGGAUGGUCCCGCGGCCCAUUAGCUUGUUGGUGGGGUAAUGGCCUGCCAAGGCGAUGAUGGGUAGCCG